This 65-nucleotide transfer RNA is filed under the name Podagrica fuscicornis. Its description in RNAcentral is "tRNA-Pro". The record is from RNAcentral. RNAcentral also lists the same sequence under 1 other name. Lineage: Eukaryota; Metazoa; Arthropoda; Insecta; Coleoptera; Chrysomelidae.
CAGAUAUUAGUUUUUAAAAAAAUUUUAAUUUUGGAGAUUAAAGAUGAUAAGUUUAUUAUAUCUGA